UACGGAGGGUGCGAGCGUUAAUCGGAAUUACUGGGCGUAAAGCGCGCGUAGGCGGUUUGUUAAGUCGGCUGUGAAAGCCCCGGGCUUAACCUGGGAAUGGCAGUUGAUACUGGCGAGCUUGAGUGUGGUAGAGGGGUGUGGAAUUUCCGGUGUAGCAGUGAAAUGCGUAGAGAUCGGAAGGAACACCAGUGGCGAAGGCGGCUUGCUGGGGUCUAACUGACGCUGAGGCUCGAAAGUGUGGGGAGCAAACAGGAUUAGAUACCCUGGUAGUCCCU
Molecule: ribosomal RNA, 275 nt
Filed under: uncultured prokaryote
Description: partial 16S ribosomal RNA
Rfam family: Bacterial small subunit ribosomal RNA
Source: RNAcentral